Molecule: long non-coding RNA, 2565 nt
Organism: Schistocerca nitens (vagrant locust)
Lineage: Eukaryota; Metazoa; Arthropoda; Insecta; Orthoptera; Acrididae
Exons: 2
Source: RefSeq, a predicted model, not a curated record
UUUACCUGUCACCUGUCAUCAAGAUAUUUUUUUCUAAGUUUUGCUUUGAUUAAGUUUAGAUCUUCCAUAACUUUCAGUGCAGUUUUAGUCCCCUUUAUCAGCAGUUGAACAUCAAGAAGCUUCCAUUCUUCAUUUCUAUUUACUGUUAAUGAGACUGCUUCUCCAAAUCCAUGGUUUAUGAUGGCAACAAAAGAAACCAGGGAACAUCAUUAUGUCUCCACUUCAGUUAAAAUUAAGAGUUAUGAUUAGUGAUAAAGUAUUUUGUUAUUUGUAAGUUUGUAUGAACCUAUGAAUUUAUAACAUUUAUACAUGAAAAAGAAGGAUGUCAUUUUGUUAUUUCUCAAUUUUUAGGAAAUAUAUGUUCAAUUAGGUAAAGUAUAGGCUCAUCUGCCAGGUGUUUUUGAUAUCUUUUAAUGCAAAAUAUGGUGUUAACAAUAAAAAUGGAAAAAUUGUGUCAUUAACUAAUAGAAAUAUACAACAUAGAAGACCAAACUUUUAACUUUUGAAAUGAAUGAAUCCUUUCUGAGGACAUGAAGAAAUUAUUAGAGAGAGACAGGGGCAGAUAUACAGAGAGAGAGAGAGAGAGAGAGAGAGAAGGGGGGAGGGGAGAGAAAGAGAGAGAGAGAGAGAGAGACAGAGAGAGAGAGAGAGUGAGAGAGGAGAAAUGAAAAACAUGAUUGUAAGGUAGACAGUUCCACAUGGAGCUCCUUGAUCUAAUUGACUGCUAGUUGAGUUUCUGUGAAUGUCUGUGGCUGUAGGGAGAUUAUUUUAAUUUUGCCAAUAUUUUUUUGGAUUUAUACUCUCAUCAUCAAUCAACCCCUCCUCUCCCUUCUCCCUUCAUUGUCUAUUUAAAUACAAAAGUCUUGAAGUCUGACCAAACUCAGUCCUUGAGUGAUGUAACACCAAUUGAAAUAGUGAGGUAUAUCUGUAUUAAAAGACAACUGUUGCUGUAACUGGUUUGUGUGCUUGAAUUUAUACUGUGUGUUUUUACAUGAAAUCUUUUUUGCUAACAUUUAUGUAUUAUGUAUGAGAUUUUUUGCUGUUAAAUGUAUGGUAUUUUUUAUGGCAAAUAUUUGUAAUAAACAGCAGCAUCUAGUUUAUAUUAGAAUACUUUACGGAUAUAAAUAUAACUUACCAUUUUUGUUGUUAUUUGUUUUGCAAGUGUAUACAUUUUACUGUUAUUUAUUUGGAUUUCACAUAGCCCAGUCAAAAUAGAUUCAGAGACUCAGUCUAAUAAUGAAGCCUCAGAAACUCCAAUAUUUUGCUCAAUGACAUGUUUCAGUGUUGCUCUCUAUUUUUUGCAAUGUACAAACAUUGCUAGUCAUUACAAACGCCAUUUUCAAUUUGCUAUAUUAGUAUAAUUCGUCUGAGGGUCAUACUAGUCACUGAAACAGAAGUCAUUGUUAGGUGCAGGACGGAAAAUUGUACUAAGUAAGCUGAGGUGCUGAUUUCCCACUGUAGAACAACAUUGUUUUGGAUUCAUUUUCAGUUAUGCAGGGUGUUUUACAACUCAUGUUACAAACUGCUAUAGGUUGUAUAUAGGACGUAGUAGAUCUAGUUUUACAUAAGAACCCAAUAAUACCACAGAGUGUCAAAGUUAUAGGUUCCAAUGCCUGUAAAUGUAUGUAUAUACAUGGUGAUCCUGUUUUGAUGUUACAAACUUUGUAGGAUGAUGGAGAAGAAUAAAUGUAUCAGGUUGAGAUAAGGGUCCCUGUACCAGAAACAAAUGAAAAGUUAUUAGUGAAAACUGUUCGGAUACCUCUGAGUGUGGAAUAUAUGUACAGGUAGUGUUGUUGCUAAGAUGUUUGGGCAGCAACUUUCAGAGUAUGGUCCAAAAAAAGAAAAAAAAUGUAUAAUAAAUGUGCCCAUCUUAGAAAGUUUGUAACAUUAUCAUAGAAUCACCCUGUAUAUACAUACAUUUACAGAUGUCAAAGCCUAUAACUUUGAUGCUCUGUAGCAUCAUACGGGCAUGGAUUCCUGUGUAAAACUUGAUGUGCUAAGUCCCCUGUGCAAACUCUAGAAGUGUGUAAGAUGAACUGUGAAACACCCUAUAUAUCUGAAGACAUCAAUGCAAUCUUUUGGUGAAAAUUUUGUUAGAUAUGCUGACAUAACAAGCACAUUUGUGCUUGUAGCUUAUCUCAUAAUUAGAAUUAAAAUAAAACAGAAUGUUCAUUACUUACUUCAGUGCCACUGCUGUGAACUGUUCAAGCUCCAGUGUACUAUCCUUAAACAGCUUUAAGCAAAGAUACCAGAGAGAUAAGAAAGUAACUGUAUGUAAAUAGAGUCUUAGGGCCUAAAACUUGUAGGUAAUAUUUUCAGAAGAAGGUCACUCCCAGUUGCGAUGUAUUCCACCUGAUGUUCUGUGUAAACAUUUAUUUUUAGAAUCUUGUGUCCUGUCGUAAGAUGAUCAAGUUGAGGUGUGGGAGUGAGUAGAGUGCUUGCUUGUGAAAAAAAUCGAUAAAGUGUUUGUGACUUUGACUAUAUGUUGUGAAUAUGUUCAAAUAUUAUGCCAAAUAUAUAUUAUGUAAUCUACUCUAUCAAUCUGGAAAUGAAAAAUUUACCUAU